Molecule: small RNA, 577 nt
Filed under: Pan troglodytes (chimpanzee)
Lineage: Eukaryota; Metazoa; Chordata; Mammalia; Primates; Hominidae
Description: processed transcript
Source: RNAcentral
AAUGAUGUCACCAAUCUGCGACCAGACCAUUGAUUCCCGACUGAAGGGGUAUUCCCUCAACGGAUACUACACCCAUCCAUUUCAAGGCUAUGAGCACAGACAGCUCAGAUACCAGCAGCCUGGGCCAGGAUCUUCCCCCAGUAGUUUCCUGCUUAAGCAAAUAGAAUUUCUCAAGGGGCAGCUCCCAGAAGCGCCGGUGAUUGGAAAGCAGACACCGUCACUGCCACCUUCCCUCCCAGGACUCCGGCCAAGGUUUCCAGUACUACUUGCCUCCAGUACCAGAGGCAGGCAAGUGGACAUCAGGGGUGUCCCCAGGGGCGUGCAUCUCGGAAGUCAGGGGCUCCAGAGAGGGUUCCAGCAUCCUUCACCACGUGGCAGGAGUCUGCCACAGAGAGGUGUUGAUUGCCUUUCCUCACAUUUCCAGGAACUGAGUAUCUACCAAGAUCAGGAACAAAGGAUCUUAAAGUUCCUGGAAGAGCUUGGGGAAGGGAAGGCCACCACAGCACAUGAUCUGUCUGGGAAACUUGGGACUCCGAAGAAAGAAAUCAAUCGAGUUUUAUACUCCCUGGCAAAGAAG